UAAGCGGAGGAAAAGAAACUAACAAGGAUUCCCCUAGUAACUGCGAGUGAAGCGGGAAAAGCUCAAAUUUAAAAUCUGGCGGUCUUAGGCCGUCCGAGUUGUAAUUUAGAGAAGCGUCUUNCGCGCCGGACCGUGCACAAGUCUCCUGGAAUGGAGCGUCAUAGAGGGUGAGAAUCCCGUCUUUGGCACGGAUGCCUGGUGCUUCUGUGAUGCGCUCUCGAAGAGUCGAGUUGUUUGGGAAUGCAGCUCAAAAUGGGUGGUGAACUCCAUCUAAAGCUAAAUAUUGGCGAGAGACCGAUAGCGAACAAGUACCGUGAGGGAAAGAUGAAAAGCGCUUUGGAAAGAGAGUGAAACAGUACGUGAAAUUGUUGAAAGGGAAACGCUUGAAGUCAGUCGCGUCGACCGAGACUCAGCCUUGCCUCGGCUUGGUGUACUUCUCGGCCCGACGGGUCAGCGUCAAUUUUGCCCCUCGGAUAAUGGCAAGGGAAAGGUGGCACCUUUACGGGUGUGUUAUAGUCUCCUGUCGCAUGCGAGGGGUGGGAUUGAGGAACUCAGCGCGCACCUUGGUGUCGGGGCUUCGGCCCACGUCACGCGCUUAGGAUGCUGGCGUAAUGGCUUUAAACGACC
This 627-nucleotide ribosomal RNA is filed under the name uncultured Russulaceae. RNAcentral's name for it is "LSU rRNA". It matches the Rfam family "Eukaryotic large subunit ribosomal RNA", at positions 47 to 649 of the family's 3401-position model. The record is from RNAcentral. Lineage: Eukaryota; Fungi; Basidiomycota; Agaricomycetes; Russulales; Russulaceae.